GAAAACGCGAAGCCUGAGCGACAAGGAACGAAAAACUACGCGAUCAACAUCAGCGCUGGUCGCCCGGGCGGUAUCCCUGACGCCUAGGUGGUGCACGUUCGAAGCUUGAGCAUCCAAAUAUGAUGCCCAGGCCUUACAUGAGCUUCAAUUCUCGCCCAAGCGAGCUCCCUACGACGCUUGGGCGUGAUUUCACUUGGAUCGGGCCCUGUUUCUGCUCUGUUUUGAUUCUUUUGCACCGGGCCGCACUCUGGGACGCGUUUGACACUAUUUAAAGGACCCUGGGGCCUAGGUUUUGCAUCCCUG
RNAcentral lists this long non-coding RNA (303 nucleotides) under Vigna radiata. RNAcentral's name for it is "long non-coding RNA (VRAD_LNC013281)". The record is from RNAcentral. Lineage: Eukaryota; Viridiplantae; Streptophyta; Magnoliopsida; Fabales; Fabaceae.